Molecule: long non-coding RNA, 1835 nt
Filed under: Homo sapiens (human)
Lineage: Eukaryota; Metazoa; Chordata; Mammalia; Primates; Hominidae
Description: HSALNT0066745
Source: RNAcentral
CGCCUGGCUAAUUUUUGUAUUUUUAGUAGAGAAAGGGGGUUUCGCCAUGUUGGCCAGGCUGGUCUCGAACUGCUGACCUCAGGUGAUCCGCCUGCCUCAGCCUCCCAAAGAGCUGGGAUUACAGGAGUGAGCCACCACGUGGAGCUAGGCAGUUUUAAGAGUGAUCAAUAAUGUAUGAGACACGCUCCUUUCUAGUAGGUGCUGCUUAAAUCAUAAUUAGUGUCAUUGUCGCAUGGAACCUACAGCAUCCAACGUAAGAGGCUUUGAAAAGUGCUUCUGGGCCGGACAAGGUGGCUUCCCCCUGUAAUCCCAGCAACUCUUGGGGCUGAAGUGGGAGGAUUGCUUGAGGCCAGGAGUUCAAGCACAGUCUGGGAAACGUGGCAAGAGCUCAUCUCUAAAAAAUAAAAUCAAUUAGCCAGGCAUGGUGAUGCCCACCUGUAGUCUUAGCGACUCAGGGGGCUGAGACACGAGAAUUGCUUGAGCCCAGGAGUUUAAGCCUCCAGGGAGCUGUGAUCACAGCACGGUACUCUAGCCUGGGCAACAAAAGAGACCCAGUCUCUUUUAAAAAUUUAAAAAUAAAAUAAGAAUGAAAGUGCUCUGAAGUGAUGAGGACCGCAAUGGAGCGUCAACAGCAGGCUAGGAAAUCAUAGCACGUGCUCCUCCACUGAGAGAAACCUCCUCCGUGCGCCCCCUGCUCCUGCCUAAGCUCCUCUGCAGAAGGACCUUCAAAGCCUGGGGCAAGCUCCCCCGCAGGUGCUGCACAAUGAUAAAUCCUGAUGCAUAAGAGCCCCAGACAAGGCUAAUGGGCCACGCGUGGGAAGCCAGGAGGUAAUUGAAUGGAGAGAUUUCCCUGGGUGGCUGGGAGGGCUGCUCCACGCUGAACCAUGCCAAGCUCCACUGCUCACAGAGGAUCUGGCCAGCGCCCGCAGGAAGUGGGUGAAAGAACAUUCACUGGUAGAAAAGAGUGCAGCCUCCCAGGGGAGCUUCCCAUAGGGCCAAAGAGCUCGCACUCCAGCUCCUCGGUGGCACCCCGGAUUAGUUGAAAGGCUGCCCUCAUUGGUGCCCGCCCAGAGGACUCCUGAUACAUCAGAUGAGGCCUGGGCAGGCAGGUGGGAAGCACAAACCCACAGGCAGCUGAGAACAGAUACAAAUCCUCUCCUCCAUCCAAACAGAAGACCAUUUGUUCCUUCUCCGUUGGGGUGGGCACUGAGGAAGGCAGUUUGUUGCAGAGUGGAGCAGACAGCAAGCUGACUGCUGUCCCCAGAUUGCCGCCCACACCUAACCAGGACUAGCCCUGGGAGCAAGGAGGGAAAAUGUAGGACAGUGACCAACGGUGGCCCUGCGGAUGGGUGAGCACACUCCUACUCCUUCACACAGCUCAUACCAGGCACCAGAUCCCAGUGAUGCUGUGUCAUCCACAGCACACCAGCGGUUACACCUGAGGUUCCCAAAGAAGUAAUGGAUUUGGCAUUUUCUUUUUUUCUUUCUUUUUUCUUUUUUUUUUUUGAGACAGAGUCUCACUUUUGUUGCCCAGGCUGGAGUGCAAUGGGACGAUCUUGGCUCACAGUAACCUCUGCCUCCUGGGUUUAAGUGAUUCUCCUGCCUCAGGCUCCCGAGUGGCUGGGAUUACAGGCAUGCGUCACCAUGCCCAGCUAAUUUUGUAUUUUUAGUAGAGACGGGGUUUCUCCAUGUUGGUCAAGCUGGUCUUGAACUCCUGACUUCUGGUGAUCCACCCGCCUUGGCCUCCCAAAAUGCUGGGAUUACAGGCAUGAGCCACCGCACCUGGCCGGAUUUGGCAUUUUCUUUUCUUUUUCUUUUUUUUUUUUUUUUUUUUU